UACGGGGGGGGCAAGCGUUGUUCGGAAUUACUGGGCGUAAAGCGUGCGCAGGCGGUUUCUUAAGUCAGAUGUGAAAGCCCCGGGCUUAACCUGGGAACUGCGUUUGAAACUGGGAGACUUGAGUGUGGCAGAGGGGGGUGGAAUUCCACGUGUAGCAGUGAAAUGCGUAGAUAUGUGGAGGAACACCGAUGGCGAAGGCAGCCCCCUGGGUUAACACUGACGCUCAUGCACGAAAGCGUGGGGAGCAAACAGG
This 253-nucleotide ribosomal RNA is filed under the name uncultured bacterium. RNAcentral describes it as "partial 16S ribosomal RNA". It matches the Rfam family "Bacterial small subunit ribosomal RNA", at positions 524 to 776 of the family's 1533-position model. The record is from RNAcentral.